This 253-nucleotide ribosomal RNA is filed under the name uncultured bacterium. RNAcentral's name for it is "partial 16S ribosomal RNA". It matches the Rfam family "Bacterial small subunit ribosomal RNA", at positions 524 to 776 of the family's 1533-position model. The record is from RNAcentral.
UGCGAAGGGGGCGAGCGUUGUUCGGAUUUACUGGGCGUAAAGGGCGCGUAGGCGGCCCUCCUUGUCGCGUGUGAAAGCCCCGGGCUCAACCUGGGAACGGCGCGCGAGACGGGGGGGCUGGAGUUCGGGAGAGGAGCGUGGAAUUCCCAGUGUAGAGGUGAAAUUCGUAGAUAUUGGGAAGAACACCGGUGGCGAAGGCGGCGCUCUGGACCGAGACUGACGCUGAGGCGCGAAAGCGUGGGGAGCAAACAGG